GGCGCAAGCCUGAUCCAGCCAUGCCGCGUGUGUGAAGAAGGCCUUAUGGUUGUAAAGCACUUUAAGCGAGGAGGAGGCUACUUUAGAUAAUACCUAGAGAUAGUGGACGUUACUCGCAAAAUAAGCACCGGCUAACUCUGUGCCAGCAGCCGCGGUAAUACAGAGGGUGCAAGCGUUAAUCGGAUUUACUGGGCGUAAAGCGCGCGUAGGCGGCUAAUUAAGUCAAAUGUGAAAUCCCCGAGCUUAACUUGGGAAUUGCAUUCGAUACUGGUUAGCUAGAGUGUGGGAGAGGAUGGUAGAAUUCCAGGUGUAGCGGUGAAAUGCGUAGAGAUCUGGAGGAAUACCGAUGGCGAAGGCAGCCAUCUGGCCUAACACUGACGCUGAGGUGCGAAAGCAUGGGGAGCAAACAGGAUUAGAUACCCUGGUAGUCCAUGCCGUAAACGAUGUCUACUAGCCGUUGGGGCCUUUGAGGCUUUAGUGGCGCAGCUAACGCGAUAAGUAGACCGCCUGGGGAGUACGGUCGCAAGACUAAAACUCAAAUGAAUUGACGGGGGCCCGCACAAGCGGUGGAGCAUGUGGUUUAAUUCGAUGCAACGCGAAGAACCUU
RNAcentral lists this ribosomal RNA (607 nucleotides) under Acinetobacter sp. RNAcentral's name for it is "bacterial SSU rRNA". It matches the Rfam family "Bacterial small subunit ribosomal RNA", at positions 374 to 972 of the family's 1533-position model. The record is from RNAcentral. Lineage: Bacteria; Pseudomonadati; Pseudomonadota; Gammaproteobacteria; Moraxellales; Moraxellaceae.